Molecule: ribosomal RNA, 429 nt
Filed under: Chloroflexota bacterium
Lineage: Bacteria; Bacillati; Chloroflexota
Description: Chloroflexi bacterium partial 16S ribosomal RNA
Rfam family: Bacterial small subunit ribosomal RNA
Source: RNAcentral
UGGGGAAUAUUGCACAAUGGGCGCAAGCCUGAUGCAGCCAUGCCGCGUGUGUGAAGAAGGCCUUCGGGUUGUAAAGCACUUUCAGCGGGGAGGAAGGCGAUAAGGUUAAUAACCUCAUCGAUUGACGUUACCGACAGAAGAAGCACCGGCUAACUCCGUGCCAGCAGCCGCGGUAAUACGGAGGGUGCAAGCGUUAAUCGGAAUUACUGGGCGUAAAGCGCACGCAGGCGGUUGAUUGAGUCAGAUGUGAAAUCCCCGGGCUUAACCCGGGAAUUGCAUCUGAUACUGGUCAGCUAGAGUCUUGUAGAGGGGGGUAGAAUUCCAUGUGUAGCGGUGAAAUGCGUAGAGAUGUGGAGGAAUACCGGUGGCGAAGGCGGCCCCCUGGACAAAGACUGACGCUCAGGUGCGAAAGCGUGGGGAGCAAACAGG